UACGUAGGGGGCAAGCGUUGUCCGGAAUCAUUGGGCGUAAAGAGCGUGUAGGCGGCCCGAUAAGUCCGCUGUGAAAGUCCAGGGCUCAACCCUGGGAUGCCGGUGGAUACUGUCGGGCUCGAGUCCGGAAGAGGAGUGUGGAAUUCCUGGUGUAGCGGUGAAAUGCGCAGAUAUCAGGAGGAACACCAAUGGCGAAGGCAGCACUCUGGGACGGUACUGACGCUGAGACGCGAAAGCGUGGGGAGCGAACAGG
RNAcentral lists this ribosomal RNA (253 nucleotides) under uncultured bacterium. RNAcentral's name for it is "partial 16S ribosomal RNA". It matches the Rfam family "Bacterial small subunit ribosomal RNA", at positions 524 to 776 of the family's 1533-position model. The record is from RNAcentral.